GAUGAAGAACGUAGUGAACGUGCGAAACGUAAUGUGAAUUGCAGAAUUCAGUGAAUCAUCGAAUCUUUGAACGCAUCUUGCGCUCCUUGGUAUUCCGAGGAGCAUGCCUGUUUGAGUGUCGUGAAUACUCUCAACUUCAACCCUUUUUUCGGAAAGGGAGGAAGGUUGGACUUGGGUGUUUGUUGAAGUGCGAGCUUCGACUCAUCCUAAAUGCAUUAGCGAUCUGCCUCGAUCACACACAAUGUGAUAAUUAAAACUAAAGCAUUGUUUAAUGAUCAAGUCGAGACUGCUUCUAACUGUCGCAAGACAAUAACGUGCAUACAUUUGUGCAUGUCAUUUGACCUCAAAUCAGGUAGGACUACCCGCUGAACUUAAGCAUAUCAAUAACGGAGGA
Molecule: unclassified non-coding RNA, 394 nt
Filed under: soil metagenome
Description: partial contains 5.8S ribosomal RNA, internal transcribed spacer 2, and large subunit ribosomal RNA
Rfam family: 5.8S ribosomal RNA (bases 1-121)
Source: RNAcentral